This 253-nucleotide ribosomal RNA is filed under the name uncultured bacterium. Its description in RNAcentral is "partial 16S ribosomal RNA". It matches the Rfam family "Bacterial small subunit ribosomal RNA", at positions 524 to 776 of the family's 1533-position model. The record is from RNAcentral.
UACGGAGGGUGCGAGCGUUGUCCGGAAUCACUGGGCGUAAAGGGCGCGUAGGCGGCGCGGUAAGCGUGCGGUGAAAGCCCGGGGCUCAACCCCGGGUCGGCCGUGCGGACUGCCGGGCUCGAGCACUGUAGAGGCGGGUGGAAUUCCGGGUGUAGCGGUGGAAUGCGUAGAGAUCCGGAAGAACACCGGUGGCGAAGGCGGCCCGCUGGGCAGUGGCUGACGCUGAGGCGCGACAGCGUGGGGAGCAAACAGG